AAGCAAAAAUAAUCCCUAUUCAUUUCAAUAUACCAAGACCCAUUCAUCUUUCUUUUCCAGAUUCUUCUUAUCCUCUUCCACUCCCUAUUUUUUUUAGCAAAUCGGUGAAAACUAGGGCUCUCUUCCUCUUCCAUCUCUUUCUACUGCUUCUCUGGCAAGCUCCAGAAUCUCAUCUCGCAUGCACCACUGUUCCCCACUUUUAAAUCCUCAGUAGCCAAAAGGUGGGCAACUCCAAUCGACGAUCGAGGACUAUAACUAAACUUACAGUUAACGCAUCUCCUUCAACUUCUGUGUCCAGAAAUCCCAGAUCUAAUCCCCAUUGAAGACUUUGGACACAUGCUAAAGCUUCAGUUACAAAGGAUGAAUAUUCCCAUAAAGCUGCAUCAAAAUUAAUUUUCACAAGUGGAUGUUCCAAUGGACUCCAAUUCUUUGAUUCCCAUCUACGAAUAGGAGAUUGUUGUAAAAUAAAUCUGUAAGCACUGCGGGCCGUAAACUCCCCGAAAGCCUCUCCAAACCACACUUGAUAGUUAUCAUGCGGAAAUCUAGACAAUGGAAUGUGAAGAAUCCUUCUAGUAUCCAUAUCACUAAAGGUAUCUCUUAUGUUAUCCACUUUCCAGACUCUAUUUGUGUUAUCAAUUAGAUCACUCACUUUCAAAUAUUCAUGACAUCUCUCACCAUUUUGUAUUCUGUAAUUUACAGCUCCUGGUACCCAUGUCUUAAUCAUUCAUGCAAUUGUAAUUCAAAAUUAAUUACAUUAAUCAUAUUAACGAGUAGCUUUCUAACUCCUAUUCUUAAAACACUAUAAAUAGAAGCCUUUCACAAUAGGUGACAAAACUUUUGACACUUUUGGCAUUUUCAGCUUUU
Molecule: long non-coding RNA, 864 nt
Organism: Gossypium raimondii (Peruvian cotton)
Lineage: Eukaryota; Viridiplantae; Streptophyta; Magnoliopsida; Malvales; Malvaceae
Exons: 4
Source: RefSeq, a predicted model, not a curated record